UGGGGAAUUUUGGACAAUGGGCGAAAGCCUGAUCCAGCAAUGCCGCGUGUGUGAAGAAGGCCUUCGGGUUGUAAAGCACUUUUGUCCGGAAAGAAAUCCUUGGCUCUAAUACAGUCGGGGGAUGACGGUACCGGAAGAAUAAGCACCGGCUAACUACGUGCCAGCAGCCGCGGUAAUACGUAGGGUGCAAGCGUUAAUCGGAAUUACUGGGCGUAAAGCGUGCGCAGGCGGUUUGCUAAGACCGAUGUGAAAUCCCCGGGCUCAACCUGGGAACUGCAUUGGUGACUGGCAGGCUAGAGUAUGGCAGAGGGGGGUAGAAUUCCACGUGUAGCAGCGAAAUGCGUAGAGAUGUGGAGGAAUACCGAUGGCGAAGGCAGCCCCCUGGGCCAAUACUGACGCUCAUGCACGAAAGCGUGGGGAGCAAACAGGAUUAGAUACCCUGGUAGUCCACGCCCUAAACGAUGUCAACUAGUUGUUGGGGAUUCAUUUCCUUAGUAACGUAGCUAACGCGUGAAGUUGACCGCCUGGGGAGUACGGUCGCAAGAUUAAAACUUAAAGGAAUUGACGGGGUCAUAGCUGUUUCCU
RNAcentral lists this ribosomal RNA (585 nucleotides) under uncultured bacterium. RNAcentral's name for it is "partial 16S ribosomal RNA". It matches the Rfam family "Bacterial small subunit ribosomal RNA", at positions 355 to 1375 of the family's 1533-position model. The record is from RNAcentral.